CCCGACUGCUAUCAGAGUGGGACUAAGCCAUGCGAGUCGACAUAGCAAUAUGUGGCAUACGGCUCAGUAACACGUAGUCAACAUGCCCAGGGGACGUGGAUAACCUCGGGAAACUGAGGAUAAACCGCGAUAGGUCAUCACUUCUGGAAUGGGUAAUGACUUAAACCUAUAUGGCCCCUGGAUUGGACUGCGGCCGAUCAGGCUGUUGGUGAGGUAAUGGCCCACCAAACCUGUAACCGGUACGGGCUCUGAGAGGAGGAGCCCGGAGAUGGGCACUGAGACAAGGGCCCAGGCCCUAUGGGGCGCAGCAGGCGCGAAACCUCUGCAAUAGGCGAAAGCUUGACAGGGUUACUCUGAGUGAUUUCCGUUAAGGAGAUCUUUUGGCACCUCUAAAAAUGGUGCAGAAUAAGGGGUGGGCAAGUCUGGUGUCAGCCGCCGCGGUAAUACCAGCACCCCGAGUGGUCGGGACGUUUAUUGGGCCUAAAGCAUCCGUAGCCGGUUCUACAAGUCUUCCGUUAAAUCCACCUGCUUAACAGAUGGGCUGCGGAAGAUACUAUAGAGCUAGGAGGCGGGAGAGGCAAGCGGUACUCGAUGGGUAGGGGUAAAAUCCGUUGAUCCAUUGAAGACCACCAGUGGCGAAGGCGGCUUGCCAGAACGCGCUCGACGGUGAGGGAUGAAAGCUGGGGGAGCAAACCGGAUUAGAUACCCGGGUAGUCCCAGCUGUAAACGAUGCAGACUCGGUGAUGAAUUGGCUUAUUGCUAAUUCAGUGCCGCAGGGAAGCCGUUAAGUUUGCCGCCUGGGGAGUACGGUCGCAAGACUGAAACUUAAGGGAAUUGGCGGGGGAGCACCACAAGGGGUGAAGCCUGCGGUUCAAUUGGAGUCAACGCCGGAAAUCUUACCGGGGGCGACAGCAGAGUGAAGGUCAAGCUGAAGACUUUACCAGACAAGCUGAGAGGAGGUGCAUGGCCGUCGCCAGCUCGUGCCGUGAGGUGUCCUGUUAAGUCAGGUAACGAGCGAGAUCCCUGCCUCUAGUUGCUACCAUUAUUCUCAGGAGUAGUGGAGCUAAUUAGAGGGACCGCCGUCGCUGAGACGGAGGAAGGUGGGGGCUACGGCAGGUCAGUAUGCCCCGAAACCCUCGGGCCACACGCGGGCUGCAAUGGUAAGGACAAUGAGUUUCGAUUCCGAAAGGAGGAGGCAAUCUCUAAACCUUACCACAGUUAUGAUUGAGGGCUGAAACUCGCCCUCAUGAAUAUGGAAUCCCUAGUAACCGCGUGUCACUAUCGCGCGGUGAAUACGUCCCUGCUCCU
This 1308-nucleotide ribosomal RNA is filed under the name uncultured archaeon. RNAcentral describes it as "bacterial SSU rRNA". It matches the Rfam family "Archaeal small subunit ribosomal RNA", at positions 21 to 1337 of the family's 1478-position model. The record is from RNAcentral.